UCACGGAAGCGUCGGUGCCUCCGGAACGCGAUGGGCUGAGAUGUGAGGCAGGGUCCCCACGCUGCGGGCGCCGACCUUCGGCAAUCUUCCCGUGGACAGACACCCAGCGUGAAUCUGCUUUUGAUCGCGGGAGGAUGUAGGUGUGAUCUGUUGGAAGCCGUCAGUGAGGACGGGAUGUCCCCGCUGGCCUGUAGGACGCGCCAACACAGCUGCAGAGCUUCGAUCCGAGCUUUCCACUUACAGCAGCCCACCUUACCUGGUGUGCUUUUCACGGAGUCUAGGCUUUGGGACGUGCUUCAUUAACUAUUACUUAAACUCCACGGAAUCCUA
Long non-coding RNA from Dipodomys ordii (Ord's kangaroo rat), 330 nucleotides. RefSeq lists it as uncharacterized. NCBI's taxonomy places the organism in Eukaryota, Metazoa, Chordata, Mammalia, Rodentia, Heteromyidae. The transcript is spliced from 2 exons. The record is from RefSeq and is a predicted model, not a curated record.